GACGGAGGGUGCUAGCGUUGUUCGGAAUUACUGGGCGUAAAGCGCACGUAGGCGGCUUCCCAAGUCAGAGGUGAAAGCCCGGGGCUCAACCCCGGAACUGCCUUUGAAACUAGGAAGCUAGAAUCUUGGAGAGGUCAGUGGAAUUCCGAGUGUAGAGGUGAAAUUCGUAGAUAUUCGGAAGAACACCAGUGGCGAAGGCGACUGACUGGACAAGUAUUGACGCUGAGGUGCGAAAGCGUGGGGAGCAAGCAGG
Molecule: ribosomal RNA, 253 nt
Filed under: uncultured bacterium
Lineage: Bacteria
Description: partial 16S ribosomal RNA
Rfam family: Bacterial small subunit ribosomal RNA
Source: RNAcentral